GACGAAGGAUGCAAGCGUUAUCCGGAUUCAUUGGGUUUAAAGGGAGCGUAGGUGGCCUUAUAAGUCAGUGGUGAAAUCUCUCGGCUUAACCGAGAAAUUGCCAUUGAUACUGUAGGGCUUGAGUAUAGUUGCCGUUGGCGGAAUAUGACAUGUAGUGGUGAAAUACAUAGAGAUGUCAUAGAACACCGAUUGCGAAGGCAGCUGACGAAACUAUAACUGACACUGAGGCUCGAAAAGUGCGGGGAGCAAACAGG
Molecule: ribosomal RNA, 254 nt
Filed under: uncultured bacterium
Lineage: Bacteria
Description: partial 16S ribosomal RNA
Rfam family: Bacterial small subunit ribosomal RNA
Source: RNAcentral